Molecule: unclassified non-coding RNA, 520 nt
Filed under: uncultured Glomus
Lineage: Eukaryota; Fungi; Glomeromycota; Glomeromycetes; Glomerales; Glomeraceae
Description: SSU rRNA
Rfam family: Eukaryotic small subunit ribosomal RNA
Source: RNAcentral
AGCAGUCGCGGUAAUUCCAGCUCCAAUAGCGUAUAUUAAAGUUGUUGCAGUUAAAAGCUCGUAGUUGAAUUUCGGGAUCAAUAUGUCGGUCGUGCCUUCGGUACGUACUGGUAUCAUUGGUCUCUCCUUUCUGACGAACCAUGAUGUCAUUAAUUUGGUGUUAUGGGGAGUUAGGACUGUUACUUUGAAAAAAUUAGAGUGUUUAAAGCAGGCUUUAGCUUGAAUACAUUAGCAUGGAAUAAUGAAAUAGGACGUUCGAACCUAUUUUGUUGGUUUCUAGGAUCAACGUAAUGAUUAAUAGGGAUAGUUGGGGGCAUUAGUAUUCAAUUGUCAGAGGUGAAAUUCUUGGAUUUAUUGAAGACUAACUACUGCGAAAGCAUUUGCCAAGGAUGUUUUCAUUAAUCAAGAACGAAAGUUAGGGGAUCGAAGACGAUCAGAUACCGUCGUAGUCUUAACCAUAAACUAUGCCGACUAGGGAUCGGAUGAUGUUAAUUUUUUAAUGACUCAUUCGGCGCCUUAC